AUACGUAGGUGGCGAGCGUUGUCCGGAUUUACUGGGUGUAAAGGGAGCGUAGACGGAGUGGCAAGUCUGAUGUGAAAACCCGGGGCUCAACCCCGGGACUGCAUUGGAAACUGUCAAUCUAGAGUACCGGAGAGGUAAGCGGAAUUCCUAGUGUAGCGGUGAAAUGCGUAGAUAUUAGGAGGAACACCAGUGGCGAAGGCGGCUUACUGGACGGUAACUGACGUUGAGGCUCGAAAGCGUGGGGAGC
This 247-nucleotide ribosomal RNA is filed under the name uncultured bacterium. RNAcentral's name for it is "partial 16S ribosomal RNA". It matches the Rfam family "Bacterial small subunit ribosomal RNA", at positions 523 to 769 of the family's 1533-position model. The record is from RNAcentral.